RNAcentral lists this ribosomal RNA (447 nucleotides) under uncultured bacterium. Its description in RNAcentral is "partial 16S ribosomal RNA". It matches the Rfam family "Bacterial small subunit ribosomal RNA", at positions 29 to 523 of the family's 1533-position model. The record is from RNAcentral.
AGCGAACGCUGGCGGCAGGCUUAACACAUGCAAGUCGAACGGUCCUUCGGGAUAGUGGCGGACGGGUGAGUAACACGUGGGAACGUACCCUUAGGUUCGGAACAACACAGGGAAACUUGUGCUAAUACCGGAUAAGCCCUUCGGGGGAAAGGUUUAUCGCCUUUGGAGCGGCCCGUGUCUGAUUAGCUUGUUGGUGAGGUAAUGGCUCACCAAGGCUACGAUCAGUAGCUGGUCUGAGAGGAUGGCCAGCCACACUGGGACUGAGACACGGCCCAGACUCCUACGGGAGGCAGCAGUGGGGAAUCUUGCGCAAUGGGCGAAAGCCUGACGCAGCCAUGCCGCGUGGAUGAUGAAGGUCUUAGGAUUGUAAAAUCCUUUCACCGGGGACGAUAAUGACGGUACCCGGAGAAGAAGCCCCGGCCAACUUCGUGCCAGCAGCCGCUGUAA